GACGAACGCUGGCGGCGUGCCUAAUACAUGCAAGUCGAACGAACUCUGGUAAUGAUUGGUGCUUGCAUCAUGAAUUACAUUUGAGUGAGUGGCGAACUGGUGAGUAACACGUGGGAAACCUGCCCAGAAGCGGGGGAUAACACCUGGAAACAGAUGCUAAUACCGCAUAACAACUUGGACCGCAUGGUCCGAGUUUGAAAGAUGGCUUCGGCUAUCACUUUUGGAUGGUCCCGCGGCGUAUUAGCUAGAUGGUGAGGUAACGGCUCACCAUGGCAAUGAUACGUAGCCGACCUGAGAGGGUAAUCGGCCACAUUGGGACUGAGACACGGCCCAAACUCCUACGGGAGGCAGCAGUAGGGAAUCUUCCACAAUGGACGAAAGUCUGAUGGAGCAACGCCGCGUGAGUGAAGAAGGGUUUCGGCUCGUAAAACUCUGUUGUUAAAGAAGAACAUAUCUGAGAGUAACUGUUCAGGUAUUGACGGUAUUUAACCAGAAAGCCACGGCUAACUACGUG
RNAcentral lists this ribosomal RNA (514 nucleotides) under Lactiplantibacillus plantarum. Its description in RNAcentral is "bacterial SSU rRNA". It matches the Rfam family "Bacterial small subunit ribosomal RNA", at positions 28 to 507 of the family's 1533-position model. Lineage: Bacteria; Bacillati; Bacillota; Bacilli; Lactobacillales; Lactobacillaceae. The record is from RNAcentral.